Molecule: small RNA, 7936 nt
Filed under: Pan troglodytes (chimpanzee)
Lineage: Eukaryota; Metazoa; Chordata; Mammalia; Primates; Hominidae
Description: retained intron
Source: RNAcentral
UGGCGGUGGAACUCCGGGGAGGAGCUGGCUGGGGCGGAGGUGAUGAUCCAGGAUGCGGGCCAGCGUAGGGGUCUUGGUGGGCAUGCUGGGGUCGAUGGAGCCAGGAGGGAGAGGGGGGGGACAGGUGGGUACCUGGGCUGGAGGCGCGGCCUGAGGUGGGCAGGUGCAGGGGGCGUGACUUCAUUUAGGGGCAGGGCCUGGGGCUAGGCUGAAGCCGGGAGUGAGGACCCCGCUCUCGGGUGGAAUUGGAGGGGACCAGCGGUUGGGCGCGGCAGGGCUCACAGGGACACCCCCGUUCUCCUCCCCAGGGAGAAAGUGCUCGUCGUGCACGGCUUCCCGCCCGCCGUGGCAACCCUUCGGGUAAGGAAGGAGACCAGGCGGCGGCAGGCGGGCAAGGGCUUGGGGUCCGCCCCCUGCCUGGAGCCGCCCUAACUCCUCCGUAUCCUGCCGCUGUUGGAGUGGGCCUGGAACCCCCUCCAUAGGCGCGCCUCCUACUCCCGCUGCACCCCGACCUCUGCCGGGACCUCUAUGCGCCGCGCCGCACGGGCGAUGGCCUUCGGGCCUCCCCGGCCCCGGGGCACCGCGCAGGUCCCUUUGCUGACACCAAGCCCGAGCCUGAGCCGGACCCGGGGCCCAAGAGGCCUGUGCGCCCUGCGAGCCCUUGAGCUCCAGGGGAGGUCCGCCCCAGGCAGGGCGGCUCAUCCCCCAGACCACUUCGGAUCCAGCUGUUUGUUGAGGAGCCAGGAAACGCCCUGACACUUUUGCGGCCCUGUCCCCGUCUCUAAGAUGGGAUGAUAGUAGUUCUGGCCAUUCCUGAGCACAGCAGGACCUGCCUUUUCCCUUUGACUGGAAGGUUCUUCUCUACACCUAUCUUGAUGACCUGCCACCUCCACAGGGAGGUCUUCUCUAUCUCCCGAUUUAAAAUUGCAGCUCUGAGAAGCCGGGCAUGGUGGCAUAUGCCUGUAGUCCCAGCUACGGGGGAGGCUGAGGUGGGAGGAUCGCUUGAUCCCAGGAGUUGGAGGCUGCAUGAGCUAUGAUCGCUCCACUGCACUAUAGCCUGGGCAAAAGAGCAAGAAACUGUCUCUAAAAAUAUAAAAUAAAAUUGCACCUCUUGUGUACUUCCCCGUCUGCUUCUUUACCUGAAUACUUACUAUCUCACCGGCUAGGUGCUUUAUGACUCUCGUUAGUCUCUCCCACCCCAACCUUUGCACUAAAUUGCCCGAGGGCAGCUCUUGUCACUGCUGUAGAACAAAGUCCUGCGCAGAGACGAUAGCCAAGAAAUAGUUAAUAAAAUAAUGGAAAACGGGUGCCUUCUACUGAGCUCCCGCUAAUUGUGAGUGAGUAGAGGACUUGCCCUGUGGAGAUUCAGUGACCUGCUGGGUGUUGCUGAGCUGUGAGGAAGGUCAGGUCUGGCUGCAGUGGUGAGGCUGUGACUCAAUCAAUCACUGCUGAUGCUCCCAGGACCUGCACCAGCUUAGUCCCAGGGGCAAGGAUUUUAAACCCCCACCUCCAUUUCCUCAUCUGUAAGAUUCAAAUAACAGUCACCCCUGCCUCACGGGAUGGAGCUGUGUAAUGCCCGGAACAGUGCCUGCUGCAUAGAGGGGCUUGCUGCCAGCUGCCUCUCCCUCCUUGUCUCUUACCUGCCUGCUGCCUGGGUCAGGAUGAAGCAGGGCCCUUGUGUUGCCCCAACCCUGGCUGUUGGCUAAGAGCCCACGCGAUCUGCCUGUGAGAGGAGUUCCUUCCGGAAGAACCAGGGCAGCUUCUGCCCCUAGAGGGCCAAUGCCCUAGCUGAGUGCAGUCCCCCGGCCCCAGCCUGGUCCAGCUUUGGGAAGAGGGUGCCCAGUUGUGCAAUCCAGGCCGGGGCAGCCGUGUCCUGAUCUUGGUAUUCAGGGCUGAGCCUGGAGGGGGCUUGUGAUGCCUGACUCUGUCUCUCUCUCUGGCCCCAUGCCUUGGUAGCUGUGAGGUGUCACUGCUUUGGGUGACCUGAUCUGCCUGUGAUGGAUGAGCACCGGGGAAAUAUAGAAGACUCGGAAUUAGAAGAUGUGAGUGGGCUUUGGCCCCAGCCUCCCUACCCCACUCCCUGUCCUGGGCUGCCUGUGACCAACCUUCUUGUUUCUGCAGGCACACUGGAUAGCCCUGCUGGAGCUCAGUGUCCCUAAUCCCCUCCAGAUACUGGUGGCCUAGGGGAGGUCAUCAAAGACCGGUGGGACAUCGACCUCAGCCCGUUUCCACGCUUUUUUUUUUUUUUUUUUUUUGAGACAGAGUUUCACUCUUGUUGCCCAGGCUGGAGUGCAAUGGCGUGAUCUUGGCUCACCGCAACCUCCGCCUCCCGGGUUCAAGCAAUUCUCCUGCCUCAGCCUCCCGAGUAGCUGGGAUUACAGGCGUGUGCCACCAGGCUUGACUAAUUUUCUAUUUUUAGUAGAGACAAGGUUUCUCCAUGUUGGUCAGGCUGGUCUCAAACUCCCGACUUCAGGGAAUCUGCCUGCCUCGGCCUCCGAAAGUGCUGGGAUUACAGGAGUGAGCCACUGCGCCAGGCCUUCUCCAGGCUCUUGGCACCUUAGCCAGAAACAAUUUAAGGACAAGUGCAAAAGUCAUGAACGUAGGCAGAUUUCUUGCAGAGUAAAGGGACUCACUCAAGAAGAGGAACGUGGGGGUCCUCAAGAGAGUGUCUCAUGCCCUACAAGGUGUGGGGCUGACCUUUAUGGGCUUCUUUAACUAAAGAGGGUAUAUUCAUGAAGAUUCCAGGAAAAGGUAAAGAUUUCUCAAGACCGUGGUGCCACAAUUUACACCCAAAUACAGGUGUUCCUGGAGCCGUCUUGGCACUGGUGGGUGUAUGGUUUCAUAUGUUACUGAUCAUACAAUGAGAUCCUAGGUGAAACCUACAUCAAAUACAGCGCCAUGUUGUGUCUGGUUGGUCGUAGCCAGCUUGGUCCUCAUCCUAUUUUUCAGGGACUUAUUGGCCCUUAGCACAUGCAGCUAUUUCAAGUGUCCUUCUUCUCUCAUGUGAAACUGCUGCCUGGGAUUUUCUAUUCACUUGCUACCACUCUAUUAAUCUCACAUUCUCGCCUCUUUUCUGUGCCACCCGGUGUGGGUCCGACAGGUUGUUACUAGAGUGCAAUACAAAGUCAGUCAAGGCGGACCUCCUGAGGGUUGCUGAGGGCAGGGGUGGAGCUAGUAGCCUGAGGACCUGCCAGUCACGGGGAUUCCUCAUGGGCACAGAGGAGGGAGGAGGGGCCCAUGGCCCUAGCAUAUGAGAAGCCUCUCCUCUGCCUGGAAGCCCCAUGCCUCAGCUUCCCCCACACUCCCACCUGUCCGCUUGCCUCUGAACUCACGCAUUUCUUGGAAGUCUGGGGAGAUUCACCUUUACUCAGAUGGUUGUUUACCUGUCUCGUGCACAGCUUGACCUUGGACUUUAAAGUGAGGAUAAAGAACGAGGAGGAUGGGGGGAUGCCCCCCUUCCACGGGGCCCUGUGGCUUCCAAACCUCGGCCUCCUCUGGUCUCUUGUCUGUGGAGCCUCCUUCAAACCCAGGGAAAGAAAACCACCUGCCACGGGUUGUGGUUCUUCUAGGAUCUUCUAUCAAUGUUCUAUGAGGUCCCCAGGAGCCAUGAAGCUGGGGCUGACUCCCAGGGCAAUGGGACUGCAGUGUCCUUGUUCUUUCUUGUUCUAUGCAUCCAUGCUCUGCUCCACCCCUGCCCCUUCACUCUGCCCACACACAUCCCUCUAGACUGGCCUUGUGGUCAGAGCCUGGAGUGCAUGGGCUGCUGGAGGCCUGUGGGCUGCACUGGGCCAGAACCCCUGGCGCCUUCAAGACUGGCCUGGAGCCAGCAGGUAGGUGACCUUUCCAGGGCCUGCCUAUCCCAUCUUUCUCCUCCAAUCCCUCCCCUCUCUUGCCUGGGUCAAUUAGAGAAAGCUUGUCUGUUGGCUGCCUGGCAGGGUGGAGUUCAGGGGCAGGUCAGGAGCCCCGUGACAGCUCAAAAAAAAAAAAAAAAAAAAAAAAACAGAAAAAAAAAAACCUACAAAAACAAACCCACCAUUGGGCCUUUCCCCUUUCAUUCUUCUGUUUUCUACACAGCAAACUCAGUCAUGGCUUUGGAGAUCACUUUAAGCUUGUCUCCAGCUGGCAAACUAAGGAGGGUAAUGGAGAAGCUCCCCCACCCCCAACCCCACCCCUUCCUUCCGGAAGCAAAUCUAAGUCCAGCCCCGGCUCCAGAUCCCUCCCACACUGGACCUAGGAAACCCUCAGCUCAGAGAACAACCCUGCAUUCCCCACACAGCACCCACAAUCAGCCACUGCGGGCGAGGAGGGCAUAAGGCCAGGUUCCCAAGAGCUCAGGUGAGUGACACAGUGGAAUGGCCCAGGGCGCCCUCACCCUGCUCAGCUUGUGGCUCUAACAUUCCAGAAGCUGAGGCCUCUGCCAUCCCUGCCCUUUCCCCAUGGAUAUCCCUUUUCAGACAACCCUGGCCUGCGUGAAUCCCCCUCCCUUCCCUUGUUUGUUUGUUUUUUUUCCCCCGGGGAGGACAGGUCUUGCUGUCACCCAGGCUGGAGUGCUGUGGGAUCCUGGCCACUGCAGCCUUGAAUUCCUGGGCUCAAGUGAUUCUCUUGCCUCAGCCUCUGGAGUAGCUAGGACUACAGGCCCUCACCGUCCUGCCUGGUUAAUGUUUAAGAAUUUUUUUAAAGAUUUUUAGAGAUGGGGUCUUGCAAUGCUGCACCAGGUUGGUCUCCAACUCCUGGCCUCAGCCUCCCUAGGGUCUGGGAUUAUAGGUGGGAGCCACCCUGCCUAGGCCUGUGCUUUUGCUGAGUCAUCAGAGUUUUGUUCAUUCCCACAGCAGCUCUGGCCCCUAGUAGCAGCUCAGUUCCUCGAUGGGCUGUGUUUGUCCUGGAGCCCAGAUGGACUGUGGCCAGGCAAGUGGAUCACAGGCCUGGCUGGCCUGGGAGGUUUCCACAUGUGAGGGGCUGAGGGGCUCAAGGAGGAGAGCAUCUCCACUGGGUGGAGGCUGGGGGUCCCAGCAGGAAAUGGUGAGACAAAGGGCGCUGGCUGGCAGGGAGACAGCACAGGAAGGUCCUAGAGCUUCCUCAGUGCAGCUGGACUCUCCUGGAGAACUUCACACACCCUGAUAUCUGGGCCUUGCCCGACGAGGGUGCUUUCACUGGUCUGCACCAUGGCCCAGGCCCUGGGAUUUUGAACAGCUCCGCAGGUGAAUGAAAGGUGCGGCCAGGCUGGGGAACCACCGCAUUAGAGCCUGACCUGGUUUUCAGCCCCAGCCCCGCCACUGACUGGCUUUGUGAGUGCGGGCAAGUCACUCAGCCUCCCUAGGCCUCAGUGACUUCCCUGAAAGCAAGAAUUCCACUUUCUUGCUGUUGUGAUGGUGGUAAGGGAACGGGCCUGGCUCUGGCCCCUGACACAGGAACAUGGAGCUGAUCCAGGACACCUCCCGCCCGCCACUGGAGUACGUGAAGGGGGUCCCGCUCAUCAAGUACUUUGCAGAGGCACUGGGGCCCCUGCAAAGCUUCCAGGCCCGGCCUGAUGACCUGCUCAUCAGCACCUACCCCAAGUCCGGUAAGUGAGGAGGGCCACCCACCCUCUCCCAGGUGGCAGUCCCCACCUUGGCCAGCGAGGUCGUGCCCUCAGCCUGCUCACCUCCCAUCUCCCUCCCUCUCCAGGCACCACCUGGGUGAGCCAGAUUCUGGACAUGAUCUACCAGGGCGGUGACCUGGAGAAGUGUCACCGAGCUCCCAUCUUCAUGCGGGUGCCCUUCCUUGAGUUCAAAGCCCCAGGGAUUCCCUCAGGUGUGUGAGUGUGUCCUGGGUGCAAGGGGAGUGGAGGAAGACAGGGCUGGGGCUCAGCUCACCAGACCUUCCCUGACCCACUGCUCAGGGAUGGAGACUCUGAAAGACACACCGGCCCCACGACUCCUGAAGACACACCUGCCCCUGGCUCUGCUCCCCCAGACUCUGUUGGAUCAGAAGGUCAAGGUGAGGCUGGGCACAGUGUUUCACAUCCAUAAUCCCAGCACUUUGGGAGGCUGAGGCAGGCAGAUCACCUGAGGUUGGGAGUUUGAGAGCACCCUGAGCAACAUAGAAGAACCUUGUCUCUACUAAAAAUACAAAAUUAGCCGGGUGUGGUGGCGGGUGCCUGUAAUCCCAGCUACUCCGAAGCCUGAGACAGGAGAAUCACUUGAACCCGGGAGAAGGAGGUUGUGGUGAGCCAGAGAUCCCACCAUUGCACUCCAGCCUGAGCAACAAGAGCAAAACUCACAAAAAUAAAUAAAUAAAUAAAUAUAUAAAUAAAAAUAAAAGUGUGGCACCUGUGGUGGCUCACUGCUGUAAUGCCAGCACUUUGGGAGGCCAAAUUGGGUGGAUCACUUGAGCUCAGGAGUUACAGACCAGCCCGGGAAACAUGGGGAGACUCCAUCUCUAUGAAAAUGCAAAAUAUCAGCAGGGCAUGGUGGCAUGGCGCUGUAGUUCCAGCUACUGGAAAGUCUGAGGUUGGAGGAUUGCUUGAGCCUGGGAGGUCAAGGUUGCAGUGAGUUAUUAUCACUCCAGUGCACUCCAACUUCGGUGACAGAAAAAAAGAAAGACCAAGGUCUUUUUUUUUUUUUUUUGAGACUCUCUGUCUCAAAAAUAAAUAAAUAAAAUAAAAUAAAAUAAAUCCCACAAUAAAAAGAAAAAGCAAAGGUCCAGGUGUGGGGCAUGUGAAUCCAGGGAAGGAGGCCCUGGCUCAGCCCAGCUUUGGUCCUGUUCUUCUGGGAAAGUCGCCUCACUUCCUCCAGCCUUGUCUCAUCUUCUGCGGCGGGGACUGUCUGCCUCUUGCUCUGAUGACCAAGAACAUAAGACUCUUCAGUGUAGACCUAAGAAAGCUAGAGGGUGGGUCCUCACAGGCCCACAAAAUUUGGUGGCGGUGGGAUCACGGCUGGUGGAGCAUGCCUUGGUCCAGAUCGGGGUGUGACGCAUUGAUGCAGAUUAUAUUACUAUAGAAUAUGAUGGUCUCAGGGACCAGGCAGGACUUUGGCUUCUGAGCAGGGUUCAGAUCCUGGCUUGGCCCUACCGGUGCCGUGAGAUCUCAAACAAGUCAGCCUGUAAGCCUCAGGUUCCUCCUUUGCCAAUCCAAGAGAUGAGCUGGCCUGGGGCAGGCUGUGUGGUGAUGGUGCUGGGGUUGAGUCUUCUGCCCCUGCAGGUGGUCUAUGUUGCCCGCAACGCAAAGGAUGUGGCGGUUUCCUACUACCACUUCUACCACAUGGCCAAGGUCCACCCUGAGCCUGGGACCUGGGACAGCUUCCUGGAGAAGUUCAUGGUCGGAGAAGUGUCCUAUGGAUCCUGGUACCAGCACGUGCAGGAGUGGUGGGAGCUGAGCCGCACCCACCCUGUUCUCUACCUCUUCUAUGAAGACAUGAAGGAGAACCCCAAAAGGGAGAUUCAAAAGAUCCUGGAGUUUGUGGGGCGCUCCCUGCCAGAGGAGACCGUGGACUUCAUGGUUCAGCACACGUCGUUCAAGGAGAUGAAGAAGAACCCUAUGACCAACUACACCACCGUCCCCCAGGAGUUCAUGGACCACAGCAUCUCCCCCUUCAUGAGGAAAGGCAUGGCUGGGGACUGGAAGACCACCUUCACCGUGGCGCAGAAUGAGCGCUUCGAUGCGGACUAUGCGGAGAAGAUGGCAGGCUGCAGCCUCAGCUUCCGCUCUGAGCUGUGAGAGGGGCUCCUGGAGUCACUGCAGAGGGAGUGUGCGAAUCAAGCCUGACCAAGGGGCGAAUCAAUCCUGACCAAGAAUAAAAUAUGAAUUGAGGGCCAGGGACGGUAGGUCAUGUCUGUAAUCCCAGCAAUUUGGAGGCUGAGGUGGGAGGAUCAUUUGAGCCCAGGAGUUCGAGACCAACCUGGGCAACAUAGUGAGAUUCUGUUAAAAAAAUAAAAUAAAAUAAAACCAAUUUUUAAAAAG